RNAcentral lists this ribosomal RNA (498 nucleotides) under uncultured bacterium. RNAcentral's name for it is "partial 16S ribosomal RNA". It matches the Rfam family "Bacterial small subunit ribosomal RNA", at positions 29 to 523 of the family's 1533-position model. The record is from RNAcentral.
AUUGAACGCUGGCGGAAUGCUUUACACAUGCAAGUCGAACGGCAGCACGGGGCAACCUGGUGGCGAGUGGCGAACGGGUGAGUAAUACAUCGGAACGUGCCCAGUCGUGGGGGAUAACGUAGCGAAAGUUACGCGAAUACCGCAUACGAUCUAAGGAUGAAAGCGGGGGAUCGCAAGACCUCGCGCGAUUGGAGCGGCCGAUGUCAGAUUAGGUAGUUGGUGGGGUAAAGGCCCACCAAGCCGACGAUCUGUAGCUGGUCUGAGAGGACGACCAGCCACACUGGGACUGGGCCACGGCCCAGACUCCUACGGGAGGCAGCAGUGGGGAAUUUUGGACAAUGGGCGCAAGCCUGAUCCAGCCAUUCCGCGGGCAGGAUGAAGGCCUUCGGGCUGUAAACUGCUUUUGUACGGAGCGAAAAGGCUCUCUCUAAUACAGGGGGCUCAUGACGGUACCGUAAGAAUAAGCACCGGCUAACUACGUGCCAGCAGCCGCCGUAA